GCUCAGUGGUGUACAGUGUACACUGAUCUUGUAGAAGACCUGAAUUUGGUUCUCAGCACGUACCUGCACCCGGCACAUCUGUACAAACGUGCACAGACACAGACAUAAAAAAUAGUAAAUGUAGAUUUUUAUUAAAAAUAGUCACAGGGCUGGCGCUGUGCUUUAGUGGCUAGAAUGCUUGCCUAACGUUAAAGAAGUGCUGGGUUUGAGCGCUAGAACUGUUUGUACAGGGUACGGUGGCUCAUACCUGUCAUGUCACUAUGUAGGUCUUGCUAGUAUGCUUACGUUAUAGAUGACAGUCUAGGGCACAGAAAGACUAUGGCCUGUACUUCAUUAUCCACCUGGAGUGGCGGCCCUGGAAUCUGAACCCGGUGUAAAGUGUCCCCAACGCCUGCACGCUCAGCGGCUAGUAAGGAACACCAAGUCAGCAACAACCUUGCAGGCUGAUGAAACGCUCGGGAAGGUUAGGAAGGCUCCUCUCUGCGAGCUUUCCAGGCUCCUCCCGGGGAUCUCGGUGUCCCUGCACCCUCCUUUUCGGCACUCUCCGGGCACCCCCGCCCUGCUCUGCCAAGGCCAAGGUGUCACCUAGCCCUUCCCAGCUUCCGGCCCUUUCCUCCAGGUUGGCUUCGAAGACAGCUCACUCGGAGAAGAUUGGUGCCUCCUCACCACCAGCUGAUUUGAGGGGUGGUCUGGGACCGGUCCUCUUCCUUCUGACUGCUCUUGGAGCUGUAGCUCCAGAACAGCAGCUCUGCCACCUGGUGGUUCUGGGAGCCAAGUGUGCCCUCCUCCAGUCCCGUAGGCAUCAUCACAGUAGUGAGAGGGCUCGCAGGAGUUUGCCGUGAGGAGGCUAGAGGACAAAAUGUGAGAGUUGUUUCUCCUCCUCCAACCCGUGGGGGAGCAAACCCAGUUUGUCAAGCUUGGCAGCAGACACCUCUGCCUAUUGAGCCAGACUGGGGGCCCACUCUGAGGAAAGAAGAGCCAAUCUGGCAGAUGAAACCCAAACCAAAAUAAAACCAAAUAACUCUAGCUGGCUUCUUUCUGUGGCUUAUUUCUGAGCAUUUGUUUCACACGGAUGUAGGAAGACAGUUUUGUUCUUUUUUUUUUUUUUUUUUUUGGUCUUUUUUUCGG
This 1128-nucleotide long non-coding RNA is filed under the name Rattus norvegicus (Norway rat). Its description in RNAcentral is "long non-coding RNA NONRATT034082". Lineage: Eukaryota; Metazoa; Chordata; Mammalia; Rodentia; Muridae. The record is from RNAcentral.